This is a long non-coding RNA of Lytechinus variegatus (green sea urchin), 390 nucleotides long. RefSeq lists it as uncharacterized. NCBI's taxonomy places the organism in Eukaryota, Metazoa, Echinodermata, Echinoidea, Temnopleuroida, Toxopneustidae. The transcript is spliced from 2 exons. The record is from RefSeq and is a predicted model, not a curated record.
UCAAGUGUUGUAGUAGUAUGGCGGAUUCAGAUGAAGAAUUAGAGUUUAUUCCAACCGAAAAAGAAGUUCAACGUGUCACAUGUGUUUGUGGGUCACCUAUAACAGAAGCAGAAUUGUUACAAUGCUCAUCGGCAGAUUGCACGCAGCAAUGGUAUCAUCGGGAAUGCGUUUUCGGCCCAGCAGCAGACACCGCAGGCUCAACCUCAGCGGCCAGCUCGAGCGUCGAUCCGUUUGCAAACGAGUACGACUAAGAGAAUUGGAUUUGUGACAUGUGUGUCAUGCAGGCAGCAGAACAAAAAAUUGGUAGUGAUUCUGCCCAGAAACAGGACAAACCUGAAAAUUCCGAGGGUGUGCACCAGGAUACCAACACUAACAGUGGUAUCAAACAAA